Fukomys damarensis (Damara mole-rat) is the source of this 106-nucleotide small nuclear RNA. The record is from Ensembl. NCBI's taxonomy places the organism in Eukaryota, Metazoa, Chordata, Mammalia, Rodentia, Bathyergidae.
GUGCUCCCUUCGGCAGCACAUAUUCUAAAACUGGAACAACACAGAGAAGAUGAGCGCGGCCCCGCGUGAAGGUGACACGCAAAUUCGCGAAGCGUUCCAUAGUUUU